RNAcentral lists this ribosomal RNA (390 nucleotides) under Triticum aestivum (bread wheat). Its description in RNAcentral is "partial small subunit ribosomal RNA". Lineage: Eukaryota; Viridiplantae; Streptophyta; Magnoliopsida; Poales; Poaceae. The record is from RNAcentral.
AUGACUGAAGUGAUUCCCUUGGCUAGAACUGCCUCUGACCAUGUUCCAUGUGUGGUCACAAUUAAGACCUCAAUUCCUAAAUCCUCUAUAUUUAGGUUUGAGAAUUAUUGGGUUGAGCUUGAGGGGUUUAUGGAGUGUGUAAAGCAUGCAUGGCAAAAACAUCCUCACAAAUCUCAUAUUACUGCCAGAAUUGCAGAUAAGUUUAAAACUUUGAGAGGGGCUCUUAAGAGAUGGCAACUGAAUAUCUCUAAACUCAAAGUGUUGAUCUCAAGGUGCAAUGAGGUAAUUUUGUGCCUUGAUGGCCUUGAAGAGGUUAGACCUUUAUACAGACCUGAAUUUAAUUUCAGGAAGGUGGUGAAAUUGCAUGUGGAAAAGCUGUUACAUCUUUAG